GAUGAACGCUGGCGGCGUGCCUAAUACAUGCAAGUCGAGCGAACGGACGAGAAGCUUGCUUCUCUGAUGUUAGCGGCGGACGGGUGAGUAACACGUGGAUAACCUACAUAUAAGACUGGGAUAACUUCGGGAAACCGGAGCUAAUACCGGAUAAUAUUUUGAACCGCAUGGUUCAAAAGUGAAAGACGGUCUUGCUGUCACUUAUAGAUGGAUCCGCGCUGCAUUAGCUAGUUGGUAAGGUAACGGCUUACCAAGGCAACGAUGCAUAGCCGACCCGAGAGGGUGAUCGGACACACUGGAACUGAGACACGGUCCAGACUCCUACGGGGGGCAGCAGUAGGGAAUCUUCCGCGAUGGGCGAAAGCCUGACGGAGCAACGCCGCGUGGGUGAUGAAGGUCUUCGGAUCGUAAAACUCUGUUAUUAGGGAAGAACAUAUGUGUAAGUAACUGUGCACAUCUUGACGGUACCUAAUCAGAAAGCCACGGCUAACUACGUG
RNAcentral lists this ribosomal RNA (497 nucleotides) under uncultured bacterium. RNAcentral describes it as "partial 16S ribosomal RNA". It matches the Rfam family "Bacterial small subunit ribosomal RNA", at positions 28 to 507 of the family's 1533-position model. The record is from RNAcentral.